Molecule: ribosomal RNA, 253 nt
Filed under: uncultured prokaryote
Description: partial 16S ribosomal RNA
Rfam family: Bacterial small subunit ribosomal RNA
Source: RNAcentral
UACGGAGGGUGCAAACGUUGCUCGGAAUCAUUGGGCGUAAAGCGCACGUAGGUGGUCGGUUAAGUCGGGUGUGAAAGCUCCGGGCUCAACCCGGAAAGGGCACUCGAAACUGGCCAGCUAGAGUACGGAAGAGGGUCUCGGAAUUCCCGGUGUAGAGGUGAAAUUCGUAGAUAUCGGGAGGAACACCAGCGGCGAAGGCGGAGACCUGGGCCGAUACUGACGCUGAGGUGCGAAAGCGUGGGGAGCAAACAGG